This is a long non-coding RNA of Setaria italica (foxtail millet), 2616 nucleotides long. RefSeq lists it as uncharacterized. Lineage: Eukaryota; Viridiplantae; Streptophyta; Magnoliopsida; Poales; Poaceae. The transcript is spliced from 3 exons. The record is from RefSeq and is a predicted model, not a curated record.
CUGGCAGCGACCUUAUCUGUUCACUGGCGAAAGAGGGAGAUUCCGCGACCUGCGGCCGCUGCUGCCGUCGCCAGCGGCCGAAUCCAACCAAAUCAGCAUGGCUGCGGCGGCGCCAAUCCCGGCUCUGCUGGAAGAGCUCGUCAGCGCCGGUCCCGGCUUUGCUAGAAGAGCUCGUCGAGGAGAUCCUCCUCCGCCUCCCUCCGGCCAAGCCCGAUAGCCUCGUCCGCGCCGCCCUGGCGCCGCCUCAUCUCCGGUCGCAGCUUCCGCCGCCGAUUCCAUGAGUUCCACCGCGCGCCCCCCAUGCUCGGCCUCAUCUGCAACCGUGUCAACGAGAAUUUCUACAUCAUCUACCUAGCCCGCUUCGUCCCCACCUGCUCCUUCCGCCCACCCCACGCCGACCGCCGUGAGUGGCGCGCGCUCGAUGCCACGGCCGCGUCCUCCUCCGCGUCAGGAGCGCGGCCUCCUUCGCGUCAGGAGCUGGGGGCCUCGCCACCUCGUCGUCUGGGACCCUGUGACAGACGAGUGGAGCCAGCUACCCACGGGGCAACUGCUUGCCGACUACUGGAACGUGGCUGUGCUCUGCGUGGCCUGUGGCACUGGCGGCGCCUGUGACCACAUCGACUGCCACCACGGACACUUCUUCUUCGUCUUCUUGGGCACCGGUGCCGAGCACAUGACAUUGUGGGUCUACUCGUCAGAGGCUGGAACCUGGAGUGAGCCGACCUCUGUUGUUCAGUUCCCCAAGUACCAUGUCGAUGAACCGCCCUCUGCCAUUGUUGGGAAUGCACUCUAUUGACUCAAGCAGGAGAAUUCUCAAGUAUGAUUUGGCCACACGGGAAAUCAAUGUGCAUCUCCAACCUCCUGGGUCCUAUAGGACCUGUACCACAAUCAUGACAGUGGAGGAUGGCGGUCUGGGAGUCGCAAGAAUGGAAGGGCCCAGACUCCCUGUGGUCAAUGGAGGCAAGUCCUGAUGGAGGCAUGGGAUGGGCACAAAUCAGUCAUUGACCUCCCGAAGUUACUCUCUGUCGAUGCAAACUCCAUUUGUUCUGAUUUUCUUGGCUUUGCUCAUGGUGUCGGCGUCAUUUUUGUGGGUACAGGUGAUGGGCUAUUCAGUUUUGAUUUAAAGUCUGGCCAGGUGAGGAAUGUAUGUGAGGCGGCAUGCUAUUUCAAUAGCAUCCGUGGCGUUGUUCCCUCUAUGAGCUUCCACACUCCAGGUGUAGACGACAGUGGCGUCGUGUUGUUAGAUCUGCUGUUGUUAUCUAUAGGAGCAGGUGACAAUGGUGGUGUUGGAUCAGUAGUCGUCUCUGUCGUCACCUCUUUGCCAUCGCAGAUGAUCUUGACUUCACAGUAGAGAGGACAGGAACAAGUUCAAUGAUUGCGUUAGCGAUUUGAUCGCUCUCGAUGAGGUAUACAUCGACGGUAACCUGAAUGUAUAAAAAGAAUGAUAUUUGAGUCUUCAAUUUCGUCCUACGAUUCAAAACUUGUUCAGAGGUCAGAACAGUUAAUGAACUGGUCUAGCUGCUCACCUGAAAUUUGCGGCACUGAUCCAGGAAUUUCUGCAGCAUCUCUCGCCUCUUCGAUCUCUCUUGGUUCAAGUAGGUUUCGAUCUGCUCUGGGCUUGCUCGGCUCUUAGGCAUCAUUCCUACUAUUUCAGAAAUCGAUGGUGUGUCAGGUUCCUCACAAAAUACAACUUUUAACUGAAUAUUGCUUACAGAUUGUCGGAUGCAAAACAUAGACAGUAACACAUUCAGAAAAUUCAGCUCCUUACAGAAACAUAUCCAUGUUUUUUUUGUUAUUUUCACUCUGUAAGUUGCCGAACCUGCUGAAAGUCUAUUUUUAUCUUGCCAGCGUCAUUGUAUCUAAAGACUAGAAGCUGGCAGAAUGGAAUCCUACUGUGGUGGUCUUGUUCACACUUUAGUGGCAGUCUAACAUCACAAUAUACGCCAUACGCUACCCGGCAUCUCACAAACCUACUUUUUGUGCUUUUGGCAUCCUGUAUGGACGUAUGGUCCCUGGUCCACGUAUAUUGCUAGCAUUCGCUACUUGGAGCUCAAAGGAUGCAUGUGAUCGUUGAGAAUUGAUUCUACAACUUCCACUGAAGCAAAGAUCAUGUUUGGUUUAGGAGGCACAGGUCACACCUAACGCAUGAUGGGUGGCUUUGUUCGUAUCUCGGAUCCUCUCUACAAGGUCAGCAUCAACCGCUUGGAACUUUGCUGUUGCAGCUUUGCGAUGGGCCCAAACCCAAAGCAUUCUUGGCGCAAAGAGGUUCACAAGCAAGGCUCCAAGGGAAACUCCCGCGCGUGAAGAAGACACCUUUAAGAAAGUCCAAGAACUUGACCUUCGAUUCUUCCAUCAGCAUGGCCAUCUAGAUUGAAGUAGUACGCGAAAGAGGCAGCUUUCUGGGACCCCGAUUAAUGGUGACCCGAAGCAAAGACUGAAUUGCAACAUUGUCCUGUCACUGGUUGUUACGAUGGUAGUCCUGAUUUGACUCUUAAUUCCCAAUUUGCCGAGGGAAAGGUUUUUGUUCGAGUUCAGCUCAAGGAACAUUAAUUGGACAAUAUUGUGACAUUAUUGGAAUAGUGACUGGUGUUGGCGGGGCUACAAGCCUGAUUGUAA